Molecule: unclassified non-coding RNA, 204 nt
Filed under: Hevea brasiliensis (rubber tree)
Lineage: Eukaryota; Viridiplantae; Streptophyta; Magnoliopsida; Malpighiales; Euphorbiaceae
Source: RNAcentral
UUGGAAGCCGUCUAGACGCGGGUGGUCUGAACCGUUGAAGGCUGGACAUUGCUGUUGAUGAAGACCGUGCCGAGCACGACGUCGUGCAGCAGCCGGCGACGGCCGUUGAACAGACCCACCAGCAGCACCAGCGGACUGAGGAACGAGACCGACACCCAGUACAGAACCGCGUGAACCGCACCGAGGAUGAAGUAAGGCCGCUCG